Molecule: ribosomal RNA, 500 nt
Filed under: uncultured bacterium
Lineage: Bacteria
Description: partial 16S ribosomal RNA
Rfam family: Bacterial small subunit ribosomal RNA
Source: RNAcentral
AUUGAACGCUGGCGGCAUGCCUUACACAUGCAAGUCGAACGGCAGCACGGGAGCAAUCCUGGUGGCGAGUGGCGAACGGGUGAGUAAUAUAUCGGAACGUGCCCAGUCGUGGGGGAUAACGCAGCGAAAGCUGUGCUAAUACCGCAUACGAUCUACGGAUGAAAGCGGGGGAUCGCAAGACCUCGCGCGAUUGGAGCGGCCGAUAUCAGAUUAGCUAGUUGGUGAGGUAAAGGCUCACCAAGGCGACGAUCUGUAGCUGGUCUGAGAGGACGACCAGCCACACUGGAACUGAGACACGGUCCAGACUCCUACGGGAGGCAGCAGUGGGGAAUUUUGGACAAUGGGCGCAAGCCUGAUCCAGCAAUGCCGCGUGCAGGAUGAAGGCCUUCGGGUUGUAAACUGCUUUUGUACGGAGCGAAACGGUCUUUCCUAAUACGAGAGGCUAAUGACGGUACCGUAAGAAUAAGCACCGGCUAACUACGUGCCAGCCGCGGUAAUAC